ACCUCAUAGUUUGGAAAUUUCAUAAGUUUCUCCUUAAAUCUCCCCCGUGCUUCAUACAAAAGCUCUCCAUUGUGUUGAAAAAAAUUUGUGAUUUCAUAAUGCAAUU
Non-coding RNA from Capsicum annuum, 106 nucleotides. Lineage: Eukaryota; Viridiplantae; Streptophyta; Magnoliopsida; Solanales; Solanaceae. The record is from Rfam.